RNAcentral lists this long non-coding RNA (1502 nucleotides) under Lynx pardinus (Iberian lynx). The record is from RNAcentral. Lineage: Eukaryota; Metazoa; Chordata; Mammalia; Carnivora; Felidae.
CCGGACCAAGCUCCAGAAGGCCAGACUUUCUGUCUUAAAGAGUCCCUCCAGGUCUCUCGGCCGCACCCUCCUGGGUCCUGAUGCACCCCCAAGCCCGCGCACGCCCAUGAGAGGAGGGGACAGACACCUCCAUCCCACCCGGACUCAGCCGGUUUCCUUCUUUUCGAAGCUCUCCAAGAGCUCGGUCAUGAAGGAAAUGUAGACGAUGGCCAGGCGUAGGGUCUCGAUCCGGGACAGCCUCUUCUCGUAAGCAAAAGUGGGCACCUUCCUUCGCAGCUGGUCGAAGGCCUCGUUGAGGUUGAACAUCCGCUUCCUCUCGCGGAUGUUGGCUGCCUGGCGCUGGGCAUAGGUGAUCACCCUUUUCCUCUUGGGACGGCCCAGCGGGGACGCGCCUCUCCCAUGUUCCUCUUCCUCCUCCUCCUCCUCCCCCUCGUCUACUUCGCCCUCCUCUUCGGGAUCCUCCUCCUCAAAGCGUGCCAGCCUCCUGCGUCUUCCCUCUCGGAGCACAAGGUCUCGGUCCCCAAAGGGAACCCCAGGUGCGAAGUCGCAGAGGAGUGGGUGCCCCGGGGAGGCCAGGGACAGGUCUGCGACGAAGUCCAGCACGGUGGCGUCCACGCACCUCUCUGGAUAGGCCGCCAUCGCGUUGCCUUGGCCCUGCCUCUCAUCGGUUUCUCGCAGGGAGGGGCGAGAUUCUGGUGAGGGGCUUCCUAACAGCUUCCAAUCUGAUGCGGCACCAUCACCGAAGGGCCAGGGGAAUUAACAUUUAUAACCAAGCUGAUAACAGGAUUAGUGGCACCGAUAGGGAAGGCUCUGACAAUGUCCGUCCUCUCGAAACUGAUGGAAAAAGACAAGCAAGCUUGAGCGCGCUAGGGAAUCUCAAAGGGAUAGGCCUCCAACGCUGAGAUCCUUUUCGCUCGCCACCUGGGACAGUUCCUUUUUGGCAACAACCCCCGGCUCUUACCUGCUGUGCUUUUUGUGUCUCUCUUCACCCCCGCAGCCAACUAAUAUUCUUCAGGCUCCUUAUCUCAUGUAGCUCUUUAAUUUAGCUUUGGAUUUUCAAAGCGAGGAUGUUUUCCACCGCUCUGGCUUCUCCUUGGCUUCAGAGUAGAAGUCCCGAAUCUUGCCACCCGAGGCUGCCACUGGGUCUGAAACAAGUGCAUGUGCUUUUAAUGAUGUCCUGAAGAGGGGCCCUGUCUGCCAGGGGUCGAGGAGAGCUGUUUGUCUGGUAUCCCAGUGCAGCGGCUACUGAAAGGCAAGAUCUUCCAUUAGCUUAAGUAAGCACGGUAGGGGGGGCCGAGAGCGCAUUCCCCAGAGUCGCUGUUGGAACCGGCUUUCUCCUUCCAGGGCAUCUAAACGGCUCUCCUGCCGCGUUACAAACCCUGACUUCCAAAGUCUGUUUUGUUGUAAUCAGCCUAACAACUGAGAUACUUGACUUUCCUUUCCCUACUUAUAUCCUCCUCAUGUAAAGUGGAAGAUUUUAAUUCAGGGGAAAAUGAUAAUGG